CACAAUUAUAAAAUGUUUUUAUUUCAAUUACAUAAUAACACGUUUUCCUCAAAUUUUAUUGAGGUUUUGGUCUUUUUGCAUUCAAUUCUAUCUUGUAACAGUAAUAUGAAUCCACAUAAUUUCAUAAAAUGUCAACAACAUUCAUAAGGUACAUUCCUUUGUGAUUUUAUAUUUUACAAUUUUAAAUCUAACUUUACAAUUAUUUUAAAAAAUUUUUUUAUAUAGAAAACAGAUAUUUUCUUCAGGCAGAUCAAAACAAGAAUUUUCCAGUAAGAAUAUACUGGGACAUAACAAAUGAAAAUAUUUAUACCAAAAUACCAAAAGUGAUUCAGCUCUUUAAAAUAUCCUACUAUAGUCUAAUUAGUAGCUUGUACAAGAACAAGUAACCAUUUUUUACUGCUCUUUUGAAUGAUGAUUAGAAAUUCAAACAAAGUAUUUUAAGGUUCAAAAACUUUUUUUUUUUUUUUUUUUUUUUUUAGAGACAGUGUCUCACUCUGUCUCCCAGGCUAGAGUACAGUGUGCAAUCAUAGCUCACUGCAGCCUUGAACUCCUGGUUCAAGCGAUUCUCCUGCCUCAGCCUCUGGAGUGGCUGGGAUUACAGGCGCCCACCAUCACGCCCGGCCAAUUUUUUGUAUUUUUAGUAGAGACAGGGUUUCACCAUGUUGGCCAGGCUGGCCUCGAACUCUUGACCUCAGGUGAUCCACCUGCCUUGGCCUCCCAAUGUACUGAGAUUACAGGCAUGAGCCACCACGCCCGGCCAAAAACAUUUAAAAAAUGACUGUCCCUGCUCAAAUACUGCAGUAGGAAAUGUAAUUUGACAUAUAUCACUUCCAGAAAAAAACUUUAAAUCUUUCUAUAAAAUGAAUUUGAUACAUCAUCAGCAUGAAGUGAAGUUAAAAUCUCUUACAAAGUAAAUUCAGGUAUAUCAACAAUGAGAUCCAAAAGUAUCGGUUCAAGAUCAAAGACUCAUAUGAGGUAAAGGCAAAUAAAGCCCCUCAUGCUUUCAGACAUUUACUUGUUAUCCUUAAAAUGAUUAUUGUUCUAAGGUGCAAAUCUUAUCAUUCAGUGACCUAUUUGCUAUUUGGCUGUUUAUCUCCUUUAAAUAAAAUACCAUACAGGUUAUAAUGUACAUUUUAAAAUCAAAUAUGAAAGUACACAUAUGUGAACAAGACAUUAAUUUAAAUAUCAAUUAUAUUCAUAAUACAGAAGUCUAAGAAUGCUAUUUGGUCAUUUCAAUUAGAUGCUGAUAUAUUUGGUCAAGAAAACCCACAUUCCUAUCAGCCUAAGGCAAAUAGUAAAUGCCUCUAUUUUUAUUAAGUGGACUAUAAACAGUAGACAUUAUUGUUUGAUACUACUGGAAUGCUCUCAAUUAGAACGUACACUGAUAACAAAUAUGUCUUUCUAAUCUGGGUGAUAACCUCAAUGAUUACAUGGAAAUCUACAAGUAACAGUCUAUAACUUAAAGCAGUAGAGCACCUGGUAAUUGUCAUACAGUGCCUCUCUAUGAAUUUAGAACAUUCUACUUACAUUGGCAGUGGAGAGAAAAGACCCCUUCACACUGAGACUUCCUGUGCACCGCGCCUGCCGCCUGCCUCAGCUUAGGACAUGGUACAGUCUUCUUUGCUUUUGCCCUUCUCAUUCCCUCCUCUGGUAUCUUCUCUGCUUUCUGGAUUGAAGUGCCCUGGCUCUCUUCCUGGUGCCGACAAGUCAUCGUUCUCUAGGCUAUUGCUGUCUAAAGCUUUCCUGACGGUCUGACUUGGAUGUUCUGACAUCUCACACCUCUCUGUACUUUCUGCUUCACAGGCAUCACUAAUGUCCUGUGAGGGACUUUCAUGUUCGGGCAGGGUGCAGCGAUCUGCGUCUUCGCUCUUUGGUUCUGCAGGACUGCUUUGAGUGGCACCAUCUAUUUUAGCAUUAUCUUUUGCAACACCUUCAUCUAAUUCUUCACCACCAGCCCUCGGGCCUGAUGAUUGAACGGUGUCAUCCUCAAAAUCUAAUGUGUCUCCAUCAGCUAGUACCUCCUCAGCUGCUGUUUGUACAUCAUCA
Molecule: long non-coding RNA, 2046 nt
Filed under: Homo sapiens (human)
Lineage: Eukaryota; Metazoa; Chordata; Mammalia; Primates; Hominidae
Description: HSALNT0049420
Source: RNAcentral